UCUAGUAGCUGGUUCCCUCCGAAGUUUCCCUCAGGAUAGCUGGUGCAUUAUAAUAUUAUGUUAAAUAAUCUUAUCUGGUAAAGCGAAUGAUUAGAGGCCUUAGGGUCGAAACGACCUUAACCUAUUCUCAAACUUUAAAUGGGUAAGAACCUCACCUUUCUUGAUAUGAAGGUUGAGGUUAUGAUAUAAUGUGCCCAGUGGGCAAGUUUUGGUAAGCAGAACGUGCGCUGUGGGAUGAACCAAACGUAAUGUUACGGUGCCUAAAUUAACAACUCAUGCAGAUACCAUGAAAGGCGUUGGUUGCUUAAAACAGCAGGACGGUGGACAUGGAAGUCGUAAUCCGCUAAGGAGUGUGUAACAACUCACCUGCCGAAGCAACUAGCCCUUAAAAUGGAUGGCGCUUAAGUUGUAUACCUAUACAUUACCGCUAAAGUAGAUGAUUUAUAAUACAAUUUCGAUUGAAUUAUAAAUUUUGAAACUUUAGUGAGUAGGAGGGUACAAUGGUGUGCUUAGAAGUGUUUGGCGUAAGCCUGCAUGGAGCCGCUAUUGGUACAGAUCUUGGUGGUAGUAGCAAAUAAUCGAAUGAGACCUUGGAGGACUGAAGUGGAGAAGGGUUUCGUGUGAACAGUGGUUGAUCACGAGUUAGUCGGUCCUAAGUUCAAGGCGAAAGCCGAAAAUUUUCAAGUUUUAAUGC
Molecule: ribosomal RNA, 694 nt
Filed under: Tephritis bardanae
Lineage: Eukaryota; Metazoa; Arthropoda; Insecta; Diptera; Tephritidae
Description: partial large subunit ribosomal RNA
Rfam family: Eukaryotic large subunit ribosomal RNA
Source: RNAcentral